AGUGAACGCUGGCGGUAGGCCUAACACAUGCAAGUCUAACGGCAGCACAGUAAGAGCUUGCUCUUACGGGUGGCGAGUGGCGGACGGGUGAGGAAUACAUCGGAAUCUACUUUUUCGUGGGGGGUAACGUAGGGAAACUUACGCUAAUACCGCAUACGACCUACGGGUGAAAGCAGGGGAUCUUCGGACCUUGCGCGAUUGAAUGAGCCGAUGUCGGAUUAGCUAGUUGGCGGGGUAAAGGCCCACCAAGGCGACGAUCCGUAGCUGGUCUGAGAGGAUGAUCAGCCACACUGGAACUGAGACACGGUCCAGACUCCUACGGGAGGCAGCAGUGGGGAAUAUUGGACAAUGGGCGCAAGCCUGAUCCAGCCAUACCGCGUGGGUGAAGAAGGCCUUCGGGUUGUAAAGCCCUUUUGUUGGGAAAGAAAAGCAGCAGGUUAAUACCCCGCUGUUCUGACGGUACCCAAAGAAUAAGCACCGGCUAACUUCGU
Molecule: ribosomal RNA, 491 nt
Filed under: uncultured bacterium
Lineage: Bacteria
Description: partial 16S ribosomal RNA
Rfam family: Bacterial small subunit ribosomal RNA
Source: RNAcentral